AACGAGACAACACGUUUUUUCAUUUUGCUCCAGAUUGACCUCCACCCGUUUUUCCAGACUAUUUCAAGUGACGACGAGGAUAAAACUUAAAAGUUUUUCGUCGAGUGAAAUUUUUUAAAAUCUUUUUGAUGCGAUUUUGCAUCGCUUUUGGUGCGUGCUUAUAAUAAACACUGAACAAACAAAAUAAGAACAGUUUAGUUGUGCGGAAAUCUUUAGAUUUCUUUUUUCCACGUGUUAUUUUUUUUCUCUACGGAUCAAAGUGCUUUGCCAUCUGCUGCGAACAUUGUAUUGUUCCGAGCGAUACGGCGUUGUUCCUGUUUUGAGGUUACGUGCUGCGGUCUGUGCUAACCGUGGUUUUUCCUGAAGAAAAUCUCAUCGUUUGUGGAAAAGAAUCAACUAAAAAAAAAAAGAAGAUACACCGGAGGAUUUUACCAUAGAAGUUUGGUUUUGGCAGGUUCGUUUGUUGGCCUUAUUUUAAGGCAUUUUAAGACGAAUCUUUUUUGUACUAGCUGAUAUCAGAUACUACUUGGAGGAAGGAUAGUUCUGGCACAUCGACGGCAAUUGAAGUUGGCACCCACGUCUCGCCGAAAACCUUCAAUACAUCUAGUCUACCACCAAGACCACCAAGAACUACCACAUCAGAAUGAUUUUUACAACAACAGCAAACGGAAGAGGGAAGAAGAUGCAGAGGACCCACAAACAGUUUCGGAUUCGAGCUCCGAUUUUUACGGGUUUCCCGCAGAUUCUUACAUUUACUCGGACGUCGACCAACCAGAAGAAGCAGGAUCAAUUUUUGAAGCCAGUCCGAAUGAGAAGAUUGAAAAUCAUCGUAAAUCAUCGAGAAGUUUAAAAAGACGUCGAAAGUCUGAUUUCGUUUAUUACUAAAGUUAAUUGAAACCUCAAAAGUUCACUGGAUUUAUUUUUCUUUUUGCAAUUUUUGUAAGAUUGCUUUCAUAUUUAAAGUUUUGCAUUUUCGAAUGUUCUAUAAAAAGUUAUUUUAGUUAUCAACAAUGUUCUUAGAUAGGGUGAAGGAGUUGAAGUAUCCACUUUUAUCGUGUAAGCGAUGUUCGAAUAGAUCGGUUUCAAAUGAUAUGCCCUUUCGAAAGGGUUCUAUGUUUUUCGAUGUCAAAAAUGAUAGGAGAGUGAGAGAGGAUUAGAAUUGUACAA
This is a long non-coding RNA of Uranotaenia lowii, 1167 nucleotides long. RefSeq lists it as uncharacterized. NCBI's taxonomy places the organism in Eukaryota, Metazoa, Arthropoda, Insecta, Diptera, Culicidae. The record is from RefSeq and is a predicted model, not a curated record. The transcript has 3 exons.